CGUUUAGAGGCCACGCAGCAGCAGGAGAGGGAGGGCGGGAGAGAAAAGAAAUCUUUAUUUCCCUAUGCCCUGCAGUCUUAUAUACAAUUAUAUCUGAUUCCUUAAGAAACCAUCCCAGGCUCAUCAUAAAUUCAUAGAAUUGGAGGAGUAAACAACCUUAAGGACAUGCAGGCCAGUUCCUACCAACACAAGCAUCUCCUCCAGAAGGCACCUGCAGGGCCUCCCAGCUCCUUGGGCACCACUUCUCCACUUGGCCUUCAGAUAGAUGGACAGGUCCUGAAAGGACUAGUAACCCAGGAAAGUUUGGGAUUGUAGUGUGCUUAUUCAGGGAAGAUGCAUCCUAGAGGACACUGUGGAUGGAGAGGGAAGACGCAGACCCUUAACCCCUGCGAUCCUGAGAGAGGACUUCCUUAAGUUACAAAUUCCUGUGGACCAGCUAUUCUUGUUGAUACUCAGACACCCUCUCUCUGCCUCCUCAAUAGACUUAUCAAUAGUUUCCUUUUUAUUGUUAUUAUUAAUAUUCAAAUCAUUAUCUCCCUCACUAGACUAUGAAGUGCUGGAAGGUAGACGACAUAUUUGAUUCAUAUUAGAAUCUCCAAAGAGGCUAUUACAGUCAUUGGCUCUCAGUAAAAAUGUGUGAAUUGGUGGACGGUGAAUGAAUAAAUACAGGAGUAAAUUAAUGGAACGCAUCAAAUUGUUUUCUCAUGCCACUGUGAAAGUGAGAGUUACUUGUAAGACUGAAGUGUUACCUGAGUAGUAGAGGAGUAGGAAGACAGAGGAUUUGAAUGAGUAAAUGAGUUUCAGGAAGUUGUGGCAGCUGUCUUUGGAUGAGCAGUCUCGCUGACUCCUGCUCUGACCACAUCAUGCCAUUUCCUCAACCAACCGAUUCGCUGCUCCUUUGCUUAGGCUUCUGAAGAGAAUGGAUUUUACUCGACACUGGGCUUCUCUCACAGGCAUAGACAAGUUUCCUGUUGAUGUCCACUGGGAUCCAAUGCAGCAUCAUUUGGCUAGAGUUGACAAGUUCACUUUGAGAUGUGGCAAUGUUAAGACUGAGUCUGGGAGCAGCUGCUCUGAUCUCCAGUGUCACUGCACAGAGGCUGGGAAACUGGUUCCCUGGGGAAAGGGAGAAGUGCAUGGAGACACGCUCUCAUCCAGAGUUUUCGACUUGGUGGGAUUUCCCAGCAUGGCUUGAUGAACAGUGCACUGGUCUGCACCCGAGAUCCAAACUCUCGAACCUGGGGCCACCAAAGUGGAGCCCUUAGCACAACCAGAGGCACUUACAACCCAAAAUAUACCAGCCUCUGCACAUGAGGCGCACUAUGAAGGGCACAGACAUAGGAAAACACUCCCUGUGGACGUGGCCUGCCUUGAGACUUCUCCACUUUGAGCUCUAGGACCUUGAAGCAGAUCUGAGAGAACAAAAGAAAACAAAUAGGGAGUAAGAAGUGAGAGAGAAAGCAGUGUAUGCAUGGGCAGGGUCCAGUGGGAGAGGGCGUUUGGACUCAUGGGGGAAAUGGACUAAAGCUGUGGCUGUAGUCUCAGAGAGCUGUGUCCCCUUUCACCUUCCUGGAAUUUCCUCACAUUCUCACCACUAGAUUCAGCAGGAUCAUCAUUGUCAGAAUUCCAAAUCUAAAUGAUCUUACCUUUCGUCCAGGGUCAUUGAGUCACAAUGUUGGAAUGCAUCAUUCCAAGUGUAAAUUCACUUUCAAAGUAUAUUAUGGAAUUAAUUCUGAGCUCAGAGAUGAGCGUUGUGCUGAAGAGCAUUUGAGAGGCACUAACGUCAUGUCG
This 1788-nucleotide long non-coding RNA is filed under the name Equus caballus (horse). RNAcentral's name for it is "lncRNA (ENSECAG00000052319.1)". The record is from RNAcentral. Lineage: Eukaryota; Metazoa; Chordata; Mammalia; Perissodactyla; Equidae.